AUUGAACGCUGGCGGCAUGCCUUACACAUGCAAGUCGAACGGUAACAGGUCUUCGGAUGCUGACGAGUGGCGAACGGGUGAGUAAUACAUCGGAACGUGCCCGAUCGUGGGGGAUAACGAGGCGAAAGCUUUGCUAAUACCGCAUACGAUCUACGGAUGAAAGCGGGGGAUCUUCGGACCUCGCGCGGACGGAGCGGCCGAUGGCAGAUUAGGUAGUUGGUGGGAUAAAAGCUUACCAAGCCGACGAUCUGUAGCUGGUCUGAGAGGAUGAUCAGCCACACUGGGACUGAGACACGGCCCAGACUCCUACGGGAGGCAGCAGUGGGGAAUUUUGGACAAUGGGCGAAAGCCUGAUCCAGCCAUGCCGCGUGCAGGAUGAAGGCCUUCGGGCUGUAAACUGCUUUUGUACGGAACGAAAAGCCUCUUUCUAAUAAAGAGGGGUCAUGACGGUACCGUAAGAAUAAGCACCGGCUAACUACGUG
RNAcentral lists this ribosomal RNA (482 nucleotides) under uncultured bacterium. RNAcentral's name for it is "partial 16S ribosomal RNA". It matches the Rfam family "Bacterial small subunit ribosomal RNA", at positions 30 to 507 of the family's 1533-position model. The record is from RNAcentral.